RNAcentral lists this ribosomal RNA (253 nucleotides) under uncultured bacterium. RNAcentral describes it as "partial 16S ribosomal RNA". It matches the Rfam family "Bacterial small subunit ribosomal RNA", at positions 524 to 776 of the family's 1533-position model. The record is from RNAcentral.
UACGUAGGGGGCAAGCGUUGUCCGGAUUUAUUGGGCGUAAAGAGCGUGUAGGCGGCCAGAUAGGUCCGUUGUGAAAACUCGAGGCUCAACCUCGAGACGCCGAUGGAAACCAUCUGGCUAGAGUCCGGAAGAGGAGAGUGGAAUUCCUGGUGUAGCGGUGAAAUGCGUAGAGAUCCGGAGGAACACCAGUGGCGAAGGCGACACGCUGGGCCGUACCUGACACUGAUGCGCGACAGCAUGGGGAGCAAACAGG